ACGUAGGGUGCAAGCGUUAAUCGGAAUUACUGGGCGUAAAGCGUGCGCAGGCGGUUUUGUAAGCCAGAUGUGAAAGCCCCGGGCUCAACCUGGGAACUGCGUUUGGAACUACAAGACUAGAGUGUGUCAGAGGGGGGUGGAAUUCCGCGUGUAGCAGUGAAAUGCGUAGAUAUCUGGAGGAACACCGGUGGCGAAGGCGACAUCCUGGACCGGUAUUGACGCUGAGGCGCGAAAGCCAGGGGAGCAAACGGGA
RNAcentral lists this ribosomal RNA (253 nucleotides) under uncultured prokaryote. RNAcentral describes it as "partial 16S ribosomal RNA". It matches the Rfam family "Bacterial small subunit ribosomal RNA", at positions 525 to 777 of the family's 1533-position model. The record is from RNAcentral.